GCAUUUUAGCAAAUCUCCGUGAUUGCUGGAGGUGCUCACGUUAUGACUUUUCCCUUUCUGAGGAGACAGUUUUUUGUUUUUCCUGCGCAGGUCGGCCGAGAAGGUCUGUGAAAGAUGAGGCCUCUGUGAGUCAAAUGCCUUCUUUCUAUUUUCUGGUUCCAUUUUUCUUGUUCACAACUCAGUGGCACUUGCAAAUGGAAGACUUGCUGAGGUAGCACCUGGCUGAUUAGCAACUUUUGCUUGGUCCCACUCGCACACUGACCGUUAAAUUACCUCCUAUCAUGCCUGGGCGGUGUGGUCGCCACUGGGAGGCCGGGGAGGUCACUUCAAUAUGGCUGACAUGUUCUGUGUUUUCCCACAGCACGUCACAUGUAACCAGCGCAGCGACUUUGACAGAGUACUACGGGAUGACCUGGUAGUCUUGGGUCAGAGUGAGAGAAAUUGGUGUUGUACUAAGAUAACAGGGUGCAAGGACCUGCGGAGAGAAUGGCUACAGCUGUUCUUGUUGGUCGGGCCAUAUAUUAUCGUUGGCGGCUUUGACAGCUUCUGAAGGAAAUGGCUGAGGGGUAUCAGGCAGGUGACUCAACUGUAAAAAUUUAUUGGAGGAUACAAACUGUUUCCAGGGGACCU
RNAcentral lists this long non-coding RNA (630 nucleotides) under Fukomys damarensis (Damara mole-rat). RNAcentral describes it as "lncRNA (ENSFDAG00000021959.1)". Lineage: Eukaryota; Metazoa; Chordata; Mammalia; Rodentia; Bathyergidae. The record is from RNAcentral.